UGGGAAGUGGAAUACGUAUGUAAAAGUUGAGUUUAAUUUACAUGUCACAACACUUCCCAGACGAACGUUGCUUUCUGAUGACCGCAGUUAAAUACAGCUUUCAACUGGGGACAGAUACGGAGCAAACAACU
Non-coding RNA from Anoplophora glabripennis (Asian longhorned beetle), 131 nucleotides. RefSeq annotates it as small Cajal body-specific RNA 8. The transcript has a single exon. Lineage: Eukaryota; Metazoa; Arthropoda; Insecta; Coleoptera; Cerambycidae. The record is from RefSeq and is a predicted model, not a curated record.